This 464-nucleotide ribosomal RNA is filed under the name uncultured bacterium. RNAcentral's name for it is "partial 16S ribosomal RNA". It matches the Rfam family "Bacterial small subunit ribosomal RNA", at positions 28 to 506 of the family's 1533-position model. The record is from RNAcentral.
GACGAACGCUGGCGGCGUGCUUAACACAUGCAAGUCGAACGGAAAGGCCCUGCUUGCAGGGUACUCGAGUGGCGAACGGGUGAGUAACACGUGGGUUAUCUGCCCUGCACUUCGGGAUAAGCCUGGGAAACUGGGUCUAAUACCGGAUAGGAGCCAUUUUUAGUGUGAUGGUUGGAAAGUUUUUUCGGUGUAGGAUGAGCCCGCGGCCUAUCAGCUUGUUGGUGGGGUAAUGGCCUACCAAGGCGGCGACGGGUAGCCGGCCUGAGAGGGUGGACAGCCACAUUGGGACUGAGAUACGGCCCAGACUCCUACGGGAGGCAGCAGUGGGGAAUAUUGCACAAUGGGCGCAAGCCUGAUGCAGCGACGCCGCGUGGGGGAUGACGGCCUUCGGGUUGUAAACUCCUUUCGCUAGGGACGAAGCUUUUUGUGACGGUACCUAGAUAAGAAGCACCGGCUAACUACGU